This 216-nucleotide ribosomal RNA is filed under the name uncultured bacterium. RNAcentral's name for it is "partial 16S ribosomal RNA". It matches the Rfam family "Bacterial small subunit ribosomal RNA", at positions 118 to 351 of the family's 1533-position model. The record is from RNAcentral.
UGGGAACAUACCCUUUGGUUCGGAAUAACUCAGGGAAACUUGAGCUAAUACCGGAUAAGCGCGAGAGCGGAAAGAUUUAUCGCCGAAGGAUUGGCCCGCGUCCGAUUAGCUAGUUGGUGAGGUAAUGGCUCACCAAGGCGACGAUCGGUAGCUGGUCUGAGAGGAUGAUCAGCCACACUGGGACUGAGACACGGCCCAGACUCCUACGGGAGGCAG